UUGUGGAGUGGGUUUAUGCCAGGAGCCCUGAAGUGGUCCAGCGCUACGCCCUGCCCGUGCUCUGGUCCUGCCUGGAGAACAAGGCGCUGCCUGUCCGAAGCGCCAACGUCUGCGCUGUGGUCACCAAGCUUGCCUGUGCCCUCUGCGAGGUGAUGGGCACCCAGCUGAUCAAGUCUGCUGAGAGCAAGCCCCCACACGUGCAGGAAAACCUCUCCAGCCUUUUGGGCUGGUGAAGGUACAAUGUUCUCCAGAAAUCUGAGAAAGGUCUGAGAUGGACACGUCCGGAUGGGAGUUUUAGCUGUGCCAAAAAUGACCAAAUACUAAGGAAGGGUGUGCAUCUGUCCCGCUCUCUCCAUCGCCCUUCCUAGUCAUGGCAUGGGGGGGCCUGAAGACCAAGAAUGGAUCAGGCUCACACAGAGGCCUGACUGGCUUCCCUCUUGCCAAGAGGUUUCCUCUGCAAGUCCUUCAAUGCUCCUUCCCUCCAAGCCGUUGCUGCCCAUCCCCAAGAUCUCUACUUCUCCCAAAGCAAGCAAGAUGUUCCAUGGAGAGAAGGAGAUGGCGAAACCUGGCACCGAUUGGGAUCAGAAGAUUAGACACAAACAGCUGACUUCAGAGGGAAAAGGAACUAAGGCGUGACUGGCUCCACUAUUGCCCAGAAUCUUCCCCAGACACAUCCCGCUUCAAUCCUUCCCUCCAAGCACUUGCCUCCCAUCCGAGAGAGCUCUUCUCCAAUCAAGCCAAGCACAAUGUAUGAUGGAGAGAAGGAGAAAGGGAAAACUAGUGCUGGCUAUGGAAAGAUAUCGGAAGAAGCAGUCAGGAGCAGACUUCAGAGGGAAAAGGAUGUAAGACCUCCUUGCCGUGUUCCACUGGUGGGGAAAUGAAGAAGGGGUCACUGGGACUUCCUUUGAUCCCCCCAAUAUGCAAGGCAGGAAGUCUUCCCGAUGACAGUGCUGCAGGGUCUCUGUGCACCUCUCCCCACAUGGAUCUCCAGGAGUCCUGGGAGAUGAGGCCAAGACCCAGCAGCAGAAGACAAGAGAAGAAGUCUGAAACUGCAGCUUCUUCUGAAUCUACAACAAAAGCCCAGAGAAAGAAGGAAAAGAGCUCUCAGUGUAAGACAGGACCUGGGAUGCCUCAGUUCCCAAGGCAACUCACAGACCUGUUUGGCUUGGAAUAGAGACAUGCCUGGCCUUGGGAAUGGAGGUCUGGGCUCCCGGCUGGCUCAGGGGGCCUUGGCCCAGGGGCCCCUUGAGCAUGGAUCAGCCUCACAAAGAGGCCUGACUGUCUCCACUAUGACGAAGAAUCUUCCCCAGACACAUCCUCUUGAAUGCUUCCCUCCAAACUGUUGCCUCCCAUCUGUGAGAGCUCUUCUCCCAUCAAGCCAAGCACGAUGUAUGAUGGAGAGAAAGAAAAAGGGAAAACUAGUGCUGGCUAUAGAAAGAUAUCGGAAGAAGCAGUCAGGAGCAGACUUCAGAGGGAAAAGGAUGUAAGACCUCCUUGCCGUGUUCCACUGGUGGGGAAAUGAAGAAGGGGUCACUGGGACUUCCUUUGAUCCCCCCAAUAUGCAAGGCAGGAAGUCUUCCCGAUGACAGUGCUGCAGGGUCUCUGUGCACCUCUCCCCACAUGGAUCUCCAGGAGUCCUGGGAGAUGAGGCCAAGACCCAGCAGCAGAAGACAAGAGAAGAAGUCUGAAACUGCAGCUUCUUCUGAAUCUACAACAAAAGCCCAGAGAAAGAAGGAAAAGAGCUCUCAGUGUAAGACAGGACCUGGGAUGCCUCAGUUCCCAAGGCAACUCACAGACCUGUUUGGCUUGGAAUAGAGACAUGCCC
Haemorhous mexicanus (house finch) is the source of this 1825-nucleotide long non-coding RNA. RefSeq lists it as uncharacterized. NCBI's taxonomy places the organism in Eukaryota, Metazoa, Chordata, Aves, Passeriformes, Fringillidae. The record is from RefSeq and is a predicted model, not a curated record. The transcript is spliced from 10 exons.